This 253-nucleotide ribosomal RNA is filed under the name uncultured bacterium. Its description in RNAcentral is "partial 16S ribosomal RNA". It matches the Rfam family "Bacterial small subunit ribosomal RNA", at positions 524 to 776 of the family's 1533-position model. The record is from RNAcentral.
UACGUAGGGGGCAAGCGUUGUCCGGAAUUAUUGGGCGUAAAGAGCGUGUAGGCGGUCCGGUAAGUCAGCUGUGAAAGUCAAGGGCUCAACCCUGGGAUGCCGGUCGAUACUGCCGGACUAGAGUUCGGAAGAGGCGAGUGGAAUUCCCGGUGUAGCGGUGAAAUGCGCAGAUAUCGGGAGGAACACCUAUGGCGAAGGCAGCUCGCUGGGACGUUACUGACGCUGAGACGCGAAAGCGUGGGGAGCAAACAGG